RNAcentral lists this ribosomal RNA (739 nucleotides) under uncultured archaeon. RNAcentral's name for it is "bacterial SSU rRNA". It matches the Rfam family "Archaeal small subunit ribosomal RNA", at positions 1 to 749 of the family's 1478-position model. The record is from RNAcentral.
UUCCGGUUGAUCCUGCCGGACCCGACUGCUAUCAGAGUAGGACUAAGCCAUGCGAGUCGACGUAGCAAUGCGUGGCGAACGGCUCAGUAACACGUAGUCAACAUGCCCAAGGGACGCGGAUAACCUCGGGAAACUGAGAAUAAACCACGAUAGGUCAUGAUUUCUGGAAUGGAUCAUGGCUCAAGUCUACAUGGCCCCUGGAUUGGACUGCGGCCGAUCAGGCAGUUGGUGAGGUAAAGGCCCACCAAACCUAUAACCGGUACGGGCUCUGAGAGGAGAAGCCCGGAGAUGGGCACUGAGACAAGGGCCCAGGCCCUAUGGGGCGCAGCAGGCGCGAAACCUCUGCAAUAGGCGAAAGCCUGACAGGGUUACUCUGAGUGAUUUCCGCUAAGGGGAUCUUUUGGCACCUCUAAAAAUGGUGCAGAAUAAGGGGUGGGCAAGUCUGGUGUCAGCCGCCGCGGUAAUACCAGCACCCCGAGUGGUCGGGACGAUUAUUGGGCCUAAAGCAUCCGCAGCCGGUUCUGCAAGUCUUCCGUUAAAUCCAGCCGCUCAACGGAUGGGCCGCGGAGGAUACUACAGGACUAGGAGGCGGGAGAGGCAAGCGGUACUCAGUGGGUAGGGGUAAAAUCCUUUGAUCCAUUGAAGACCACCAGUGGCGAAGGCGGCUUGCCAGAACGCGCUCGACGGUGAGGGAUGAAAGCUGGGGGAGCAAACCGGAUUAGAUACCCGGGUAGUCCAG